AAAGGGAGCUUCUAUGGUGCAUUCCAGCUUUGGAAUGUAUGGGUGCAUUCCAAAAUUUUAACCAAUAGAAUUCAAUUUAAUUGCCACAUCAACUAAGGUCCAUGUUAAAUAAUGGAUGGUAAUAUAUCCACUCUGAUCCCAGUUAAGGAAUCCUGUGUUUAAGAGGUUUGAACUGGAAAACAGACAAUGUAGAAGAGCUUGAAGGGUUACAUGAAUAUGCAUUCAACAUGGUGAUUAGACUUGAAGUCAAAAAUGUUAAGAAGGAGAAUGUGAUUCAUAUCAAUUAUACAUAGACAUAGAACUAAGAGUCUCAGAAUACUGCUCACUGACUUGUGUAGAGUUGAUUUGCUGAUGUUUGUGUUUGGAUGUUGGACGGUUUGUGUGUUUAGUUGAGUGUGGAGUAAUGGUACUUAGGGUAGCUUAGGUUAAUUGAAAGGUUUUGGAGGGUUUGAUGUGCUUUGGUCUUGGAAGUUGCAUCUAGUCUAUACUUUAGUUGUAAUUAUUAGCAUGUUGGCUAGAAGGCCAAGCAUCAACUAAUAUUUGGUGUGCUCAAUGUUUCUCAAUGUUUUUUUUUUUGUUUUUUUAUGACAAUGUGUAUUUCCUCAAUGUUUUGGAAAUGCAGAAACGAACCAAAUAUAAACAAUGUAAA
Molecule: long non-coding RNA, 649 nt
Organism: Trifolium pratense (red clover)
Lineage: Eukaryota; Viridiplantae; Streptophyta; Magnoliopsida; Fabales; Fabaceae
Exons: 5
Source: RefSeq, a predicted model, not a curated record